UCUCCGUAGGUGCAUCUGCGGAGGGCACUUUACUGAGUGAGGGCUUCGGUCCGACCUCCAACCCUUUGUGAACCAAACUUGUUGCUUCGGGGGCGACCCUGCCGCUUCGGCGGUGCGGCGCCCCCGGAGGCCAUUAAACACUGCAUCAUUGCGUCGGAGUUAAAGUAAAUUAAACAAAACUUUCAACAACGGAUCUCUUGGUUCCAGCAUCGAUGAAGAACGCAGC
This 226-nucleotide unclassified non-coding RNA is filed under the name uncultured fungus. RNAcentral's name for it is "sequence contains ITS1, 5.8S rRNA gene". The stretch from base 178 to 226 matches the Rfam family "5.8S ribosomal RNA", at positions 1 to 49 of the family's 154-position model. The record is from RNAcentral. Lineage: Eukaryota; Fungi.